GCGCCAGUAGUCUAGUUUGGUUAGGACAUAGGCUUGCCAAGCCUAUAGCCCGGGUUCAAAUCCCGGCUGGCGCA
RNAcentral lists this transfer RNA (74 nucleotides) under Microcaldota archaeon. Its description in RNAcentral is "Candidatus Micrarchaeota archaeon tRNA-Gly". It matches the Rfam family "tRNA". Rfam says of the family: Transfer RNA (tRNA) molecules are approximately 80 nucleotides in length. Lineage: Archaea; Nanobdellati; Microcaldota. RNAcentral also lists the same sequence under 1 other name. The record is from RNAcentral.